Molecule: ribosomal RNA, 396 nt
Filed under: uncultured bacterium
Lineage: Bacteria
Description: bacterial SSU rRNA
Rfam family: Bacterial small subunit ribosomal RNA
Source: RNAcentral
UGGGGAAUCUUGGACAAUGGGCGCAAGCCUGAUCCAGCCAUGCCGCGUGAGUGAAGAAGGCCUUCGGGUUGUAAAGCUCUUUUGUCAGGGACGAUAAUGACGGUACCUGAAGAAUAAGCCCCGGCAAACUUCGUGCCAGCAGCCGCGGUAAUACGAAGGGGGCUAGCGUUGUUCGGAAUUACUGGGCGUAAAGCGCACGUAGGCUGAUUGUUAAGUCAGGGGUGAAAUCCCAGAGCUCAACUCUGGAACUGCCCUUGAUACUGGCAAUCUCGAGUCCGGAAGAGGUUAGUGGAAUUCCCAGUGUAGAGGUGAAAUUCGUAGAUAUUGGGAAGAACACCAGUGGCGAAGGCGGCUAACUGGUCCGGUACUGACGCUGAGGUGCGAAAGCGUGGGGAG